CAAGACUCACUGCUAGUGAUUGGGGAGCUGGACGUCAACCCCAAUCUCCUGGGCUCUGAAGUGCACCCUGUUAACUUCUGUGCAAUAUCGGCACCAUUGGGGGAACCAGGAAUGAAGGGGCUUAGAAGCCAUCCCCAGGCCCUUGGACUCAUCAGAAAGGAUGCAGGAAGCAGUGGAGUGGGGUAGCAAUCUACUGCCACAUGCAGUCAGGCUGGAGGUGAGCAGAUUCCCUGGUCUCUGGUGAGGACAGGGGGUGGGCGUAGGUUGGAGAGCACCCACUGAUGGAGCUCUGGUCCUGCCCCUGGUGGCCCCACACCAAGAGCUUUGCCCGUGUUGCAUCAUUUAAUUCCCCGCCAGCCCUGCAAGGCAGGAUUAUUAUCUCUUGUUACAGACUAGGAAAUGGAGCUUUUAGAGAGAGUAAGGAACUUGCCUAGAGUCUCUCAGCCAGUAAGGGUCAGAACCAAGAUUUGGAUCUGGAACUUGAGGUUUUUUGGGGAAAUCCAUCCAGAAAAAGAAAAUGGCAAGAAUGGCCCCCGGGUUGGACUUCAGGGAGAGCGCACCGCCCUCCCUUCGACACUUCACCCCUGUGGGCUGUCCAUUCCUGGGGAUGUCUUUUUGAAAUUCCAAAAGCUCAUUGCAGGAACCAAAAAGCCUCUCUGUGCAACCCUUCAGGUGGCCAGACCCUCCCAGGCUGGCGCCUACCUCCCCCGAGGAUUUCCCCUGCACAACUUCCAUUUGAAAAGGAGCUUGGGGCCUCGGUGCCUACCUGCUGGGGGCCAUCAAUGCCCUCAACUCAGGGAUGCAAAGUGGAGCAGCUGAUGGGGGAUGGGGGACUGGGAAAGCCACCCCGAACCUGGCCUUGGGUGUUGGUUGUUUUUUUGUUUCGUUUUGUUUUGCUUUUGUCUUUUUAGGGUCGCACCAUGGCACAUGGAGAUUCCCAGGCUAGAGGGGUCGAAUCAGCUGUAGCCACCGGCCUUUCCAGAGCCACAGCAACCCCAGCUCCUUAACCCACUGAGCGAGGCCAGGGAUUGAACCUGUGUCUUCAUGGAUGCUGGUCGCUCAUUGCUGAGCCACGAUGGGAACGCCAACCUCCUUUUUUUCAACUGGCCUUGCCAAGGGACAAUGACCUUCUUUCCUCACGGGGAAGAGCCCCCCCACCAGGGGCACAUCAGGUGUGGGGCAAUUUUUUCCACUGGACCUCACUUGAUGAGCCAAUUUGGUUGCCCCGGAAGGACCCGGUUUGGCCAGAAGCCUCUCCAUGUCUCCCCUGGCCCUGCCCCCUCCACCUCUGGGCCGCUCCCUCCCACUUAUUCAAGAAAGAUCCGUAUUUUCCUCUUGUUAGAAGGUGACAGAGGGAAUUUGCUCAUGGUCACAGAACAAAUUCAUGAAUUCAUUCAUCAAAACUUGGAGCUGCUGCUGAGCCAGACUUGGCAGAGGAGUGAGAUGAGGCAUAGCCUCUGGGUACCAGUUGCCUAAACCAAGGGCCACUCUGUAAUAGUGCAUUGCUCAAGAUUGUCUGCCAUGCAUGCAGCAGGGACAUGGAGGGGCCUGACCCAACCUGAGAACCAGAGAAGACUUCCUGGAGGAGGCAGAUAGAGCAAAGUCUUAAAGACUGAAGAAGAAGAACAACAACAUGAAAAAAUGGAGUUUGCACUGUGGUACAACGGGAUAGGUGGCAACUCUGGGGUGUGGGGACACAGGUCCAAUCCCCAGCCGGCACAGUGAGUUAAAGGAUCUGGCGUUGCAGUAGCUGUGGCUUGGAUCGCAACUGUGGCUCGGAGCUGAUCCCCAACCAGGGACCUCCAUAUGCCAAGGGGUGCCCAAAAAA
RNAcentral lists this long non-coding RNA (1828 nucleotides) under Sus scrofa (pig). Its description in RNAcentral is "lncRNA (ENSSSCG00000047431.1)". Lineage: Eukaryota; Metazoa; Chordata; Mammalia; Artiodactyla; Suidae. The record is from RNAcentral.